RNAcentral lists this ribosomal RNA (601 nucleotides) under bacterium DR2A-7G8. Its description in RNAcentral is "bacterial SSU rRNA". It matches the Rfam family "Bacterial small subunit ribosomal RNA", at positions 271 to 881 of the family's 1533-position model. The record is from RNAcentral. RNAcentral also lists the same sequence under 1 other name.
AGGCGACGACGGGUAGCCGGCCUGAGAGGGUGUCCGGCCACACUGGGACUGAGAUACGGCCCAGACUCCUACGGGAGGCAGCAGUGGGGAAUAUUGCACAAUGGGCGCAAGCCUGAUGCAGCGACGCCGCGUGGGGGAUGACGGCCUUCGGGUUGUAAACCUCUUUCAGUACCGACGAAGCGUAAGUGACGGUAGGUACAGAAGAAGCACCGGCCAACUACGUGCCAGCAGCCGCGGUAAUACGUAGGGUGCGAGCGUUGUCCGGAAUUACUGGGCGUAAAGAGCUCGUAGGUGGUUUGUCGCGUUGUUCGUGAAAACCUGAGGCUUAACCUUGGGCGUGCGGGCGAUACGGGCAGACUGGAGUACUGCAGGGGAGACUGGAAUUCCUGGUGUAGCGGUGGAAUGCGCAGAUAUCAGGAGGAACACCGGUGGCGAAGGCGGGUCUCUGGGCAGUAACUGACGCUGAGGAGCGAAAGCGUGGGGAGCGAACAGGAUUAGAUACCCUGGUAGUCCACGCCGUAAACGGUGGGUACUAGGUGUGGGUUUCCUUCCUUGGGAUCCGUGCUCGUAGCUAACGCAUUAAGUACCCCGCCUGGGGAGU